GACGAACGCUGGCGGCGUGCUUAACACAUGCAAGUCGAACGGAAAGGCCCUGCUUUUGUGGGGUGCUCGAGUGGCGAACGGGUGAGUAACACGUGAGUAACCUGCCCUUGACUUUGGGAUAACUUCAGGAAACUGGGGCUAAUACCGGAUAGGAGCUCCUGCUGCAUGGUGGGGGUUGGAAAGUUUCGGCGGUUGGGGAUGGACUCGCGGCUUAUCAGCUUGUUGGUGGGGUAGUGGCUUACCAAGGCUUUGACGGGUAGCCGGCCUGAGAGGGUGACCGGCCACAUUGGGACUGAGAUACGGCCCAGACUCCUACGGGAGGCAGCAGUGGGGAAUAUUGCACAAUGGGCGGAAGCCUGAUGCAGCAACGCCGCGGUCGGGAUGACGGCCUUCGGGUUGUAAACCGCUUUCGCCUGUGACGAAGCGUGAGUGACGGUAAUGGGUAAAGAAGCACCGGCUAACUACGUG
RNAcentral lists this ribosomal RNA (468 nucleotides) under uncultured bacterium. Its description in RNAcentral is "partial 16S ribosomal RNA". It matches the Rfam family "Bacterial small subunit ribosomal RNA", at positions 28 to 507 of the family's 1533-position model. The record is from RNAcentral.